AGAUACUAGGGCCCAAAGGCCAGACACCUGGCGCGAGCCCGCUUGCAAGAGGAAUUUUGACCUUAGGGCACGCCAAAAACAUAAAUAAGUAACCGUUUUUCACAGAAAAACCAGGGGAUUAUGAAUGUUUAUGACGACUGCGGAAAUGCGCAGCACGAAACAAUCUGGUAUCG
This is a small RNA of Lachnoclostridium sp. An14, 173 nucleotides long. It matches the Rfam family "Clostridiales-1 RNA". The record is from Rfam. Lineage: Bacteria; Bacillati; Bacillota; Clostridia; Lachnospirales; Lachnospiraceae.